Molecule: ribosomal RNA, 450 nt
Filed under: uncultured bacterium
Lineage: Bacteria
Description: partial 16S ribosomal RNA
Rfam family: Bacterial small subunit ribosomal RNA
Source: RNAcentral
GUGGGGAAUUUUGGACAAUGGGCGCAAGCCUGAUCCAGCAAUGCCGCGUGCAGGAAGAAGGCCUUCGGGUUGUAAACUGCUUUUGUACGGAACGAAACGGUCCGGGUUAAUACCCUGGGCUAAUGACGGUACCGUAAGAAUAAGCACCGGCUAACUACGUGCCAGCAGCCGCGGUAAUACGUAGGGUGCAAGCGUUAAUCGGAAUUACUGGGCGUAAAGCGUGCGCAGGCGGUUUUGUAAGACAGGCGUGAAAUCCCCGGGCUCAACCUGGGAAUUGCGCUUGUGACUGCAAGGCUGGAGUGCGGCAGAGGGGGAUGGAAUUCCACGUGUAGCAGUGAAAUGCGUAGAUAUGCGGAGGAACACCGAUGGCGAAGGCAAUCCCCUGGGCCUGCACUGACGCUCAUGCACGAAAGCGUGGGGAGCAAACAGGAUUAGAAACCCUAGUAGUCC